This 405-nucleotide ribosomal RNA is filed under the name Chromobacterium violaceum. Its description in RNAcentral is "bacterial SSU rRNA". It matches the Rfam family "Bacterial small subunit ribosomal RNA", at positions 1129 to 1533 of the family's 1533-position model. Lineage: Bacteria; Pseudomonadati; Pseudomonadota; Betaproteobacteria; Neisseriales; Chromobacteriaceae. The record is from RNAcentral.
AGUUGGGCACUCUAAUGAGACUGCCGGUGACAAACCGGAGGAAGGUGGGGAUGACGUCAAGUCCUCAUGGCCCUUAUGAGCAGGGCUUCACACGUCAUACAAUGGUCGGUACAGAGGGUUGCCAAGCCGCGAGGUGGAGCUAAUCUCAGAAAACCGAUCGUAGUCCGGAUCGCACUCUGCAACUCGAGUGCGUGAAGUCGGAAUCGCUAGUAAUCGCAGAUCAGCAUGCUGCGGUGAAUACGUUCCCGGGUCUUGUACACACCGCCCGUCACACCAUGGGAGUGAGUUUCACCAGAAGUGGGUAGGCUAACCGCAAGGAGGCCGCUUACCACGGUGGGAUUCAUGACUGGGGUGAAGUCGUAACAAGGUAGCCGUAGGGGAACCUGCGGCUGGAUCACCUCCUUU